Molecule: non-coding RNA, 467 nt
Filed under: Cephalotus follicularis
Lineage: Eukaryota; Viridiplantae; Streptophyta; Magnoliopsida; Oxalidales; Cephalotaceae
Description: Bacterial small subunit ribosomal RNA
Rfam family: Bacterial small subunit ribosomal RNA
Source: Rfam by way of RNAcentral
GAGUUUGAUCGUAGCUUAGAAGGAACGCUAGUUAUAUGCUUAACACAUGCAAGUCGAAUGUUAUUUUUAGAGAGUUAGGCAGAGAGAAAAGAGGCUCAUAGCUAAAGGUAGCUAGUUUGUCUCGCCUUGAGAACAAAGUGGCAAACGGGUGCAUAACGCAUGGGAUCCCAAACAAUUUGGGCCAAAUCCUGAAAAAAGCUAAAAAGCGUUGUUUGAUGAGCCUACAUAGAAUUAGGUAAUUGGUCAAGUAAAGUCAGACCAAAUCAAUAAUGCUUAGUUGGUCUUUUCAGAUGAUCAGUCACACUAGGACUGUGACAUCCAACAAUAUCACGUGAGUGAAGAAAGGCAACACCAAUUGUAAAGCUCUUUCUCGUUGAGUGCCCGAUGACAGGACUCGAGGAAAAAGCCUCAGCUAACUUCAAAAUGAUUGUGCGUAAAGGGCAUGUGGGAUGAAAGUGAGGUCUUUC